GGAGGGGGCAAGCGUUGUUCGGAAUUACUGGGCGUAAAGGGCGCGUAGGCGGUAUGCCAUGUCAGGGGUGAAAGGCCUGGGCUCAACCCAGGAACUGCCUUUGAAACUGGCAAACUAGAGUCCGAUAGAGGAUGGCGGAAUUCCCAGUGUAGAGGUGAAAUUCGUAGAUAUUGGGAAGAACACCAGUGGCGAAGGCGGCCAUCUGGAUCGGCACUGACGCUGAGGCGCGAAAGCGUGGGGAGCAAACAGGGAUUAGAUACCCUGGUAGUCCACGCCGUAAACGAUGUGUGCUAGACGUUGGGGGUCUUAGACCCUGGGUGUCGUAGCUAACGCGUUAAGCACACCGCCUGGGGGAGUACGGCCGCAAGGUUA
This 372-nucleotide ribosomal RNA is filed under the name uncultured organism. RNAcentral describes it as "partial 16S ribosomal RNA". It matches the Rfam family "Bacterial small subunit ribosomal RNA", at positions 527 to 896 of the family's 1533-position model. The record is from RNAcentral.